GCCUGGGUAGCUCAGUCGGUAGAGCGAAGGACUGAAAAUCCUUGCGUCGCCGGUUCGAUUCCGGCCCCAGGCA
This 73-nucleotide transfer RNA is filed under the name bacterium. Its description in RNAcentral is "tRNA-Phe". It matches the Rfam family "tRNA". Rfam says of the family: Transfer RNA (tRNA) molecules are approximately 80 nucleotides in length. Their secondary structure includes four short double-helical elements and three loops (D, anti-codon, and T loops). The record is from RNAcentral.